Molecule: long non-coding RNA, 846 nt
Filed under: Setaria viridis
Lineage: Eukaryota; Viridiplantae; Streptophyta; Magnoliopsida; Poales; Poaceae
Description: long non-coding RNA (SVIR_LNC002383)
Source: RNAcentral
ACUUACAAGUUACAAGCAUUGAUCCCCUUUUGUGGGGAGUCCCCAAAACGAAAGAAGAUUAAACACAAUAUCCGACAGCAAUAGGGAGGCCAGCAGCCUGACAACAUAAAACCCUUCAACACUGACAUACAAUUGGGAGGCCAGCAGCCUGACAAUGUGCUAGCACAGGAACUUGACAACAAUCACAGAGAUGUCGUCCUUGCUCUUCCGGUUCACGGCCAGCUCCGUCAGGUGCUUCGCGGCUGCCUGCGCGUCCUUGAAGUCCUUGAUCUCAUCCACCGCCUCCUGGUUUGACAUCACCUGCACAUGUGCCAGUCUCGCAUUUCGAUCAUCACUGGAAAUGGUAAACACAAACUCGAGAGAUUUUGCAACUCAUACACGGGGGCAACAAAGUAUUACUACACGAUCGGCCAGUUUGGGUCGAAAAAAUAGCAAUUAGCUCACGUCCAUAAUGCAAAUGCUAUUGAAGAAUUAGAAGAAUCAUUGUCCGCAUGAUUAAUAAAUUUCAUGGCUUAUUUUAAAGACAGGUGUUGCUGAUAUAAAGGCCCUGUUAAGUUGCAUCCAGGAUCAAAUUAUAUCCCUCAUGCACAUACAUUAUUACACGGAGAAUUAGCUUAGGUAUGCAAUACACCAUGCUGCGAAUCAGGUAAUCACAUAAAUCCUUCAGGUAAGAUUUAUACGAGAUCCAUAUCCAUUACCUUCCAUAAACCAUCGCUUGCUAGAAUUAGAAAAUCGGAAUUUUCAUUGAUAGUUUCCUCAAUUACAUAUGGAUCAGAGCUGAGGUGCUUCUUCAAGCUCCGGUCUCCGAAUGCCCUCGCAACUGCCAGCUGCCCAUCAACACGUGGU